AUGCCUUGAGUGUAGGACCGU
Molecule: microRNA, 21 nt
Filed under: Mus musculus (house mouse)
Lineage: Eukaryota; Metazoa; Chordata; Mammalia; Rodentia; Muridae
Description: microRNA miRNA409
Source: RNAcentral